AGUGAACGCUGGCGGUAGGCCUAACACAUGCAAGUCGAACGGCAGCACAGUAAGAGCUUGCUCUUACGGGUGGCGAGUGGCGGACGGGUGAGGAAUACAUCGGAAUCUACUUUUUCGUGGGGGAUAACGUAGGGAAACUUACGCUAACACCGCAUACGACCUACGGGUGAAAGCAGGGGAUCUUCGGACCUUGCGCGAUUGAAUGAGCCGAUGUCGGAUUAGCUGGUUGGCGGGGUAAAGGCCCACCAAGGCGACGAUCCGUAGCUGGUCUGAGAGGAUGAUCAGCCACACUGGAACUGAGACACGGUCCAGACUCCUACGGGAGGCAGCAGUGGGGAAUAUUGGACAAUGGGCGCAAACCUGAUCCAGCCAUACCGCGUGGGUGAAGAAGGCCUUCGGGUUGUAAAGCCCUUUUGUUGGGAAAGAAAAGCAGCAGGUUAAUACCCCGCUGUUCUGACGGUACCCAAAGAAUAAGCACCGGCUAACUUCGUG
Molecule: ribosomal RNA, 492 nt
Filed under: uncultured bacterium
Lineage: Bacteria
Description: partial 16S ribosomal RNA
Rfam family: Bacterial small subunit ribosomal RNA
Source: RNAcentral